Molecule: ribosomal RNA, 504 nt
Filed under: uncultured bacterium
Lineage: Bacteria
Description: partial 16S ribosomal RNA
Rfam family: Bacterial small subunit ribosomal RNA
Source: RNAcentral
AUUGAACGCUGGCGGCAGGCCUAACACAUGCAAGUCGAACGGUAGCACAGAGAGCUUGCUCUCGGGUGACGAGUGGCGGACGGGUGAGUAAUGUCUGGGAAACUGCCCGAGGGAGGGGGAUAACUACUGGAAACGGUAGCUAAUACCGCAUAACGUCGCAAGACCAAAGUGGGGGACCUUCGGGCCUCACACCAUCGGAUGUGCCCAGCUGGGAUUAGCUAGUAGGUGGGGUAAUGGCUCACCUAGGCGACGAUCCCUAGCUGGGCUGAGAGGAUGACCAGCCACACUGGAACUGAGACACGGUCCAGACUCCUACGGGAGGCAGCAGUGGGGAAUAUUGCACAAUGGGCGCAAGCCUGAUGCAGCCAUGCCGCGUGUAUGAAGAAGGCCUUCGGGUUGUAAAGUACUUUCAGCGGGGAGGAAGGCGGUGAAGUUAAUAACUUCACCGAUUGACGUUACCCGCAGAAGAAGCACCGGCUAACUCCGUGCCAGCCGCCGCGGUAA